Non-coding RNA from Chlorocebus sabaeus (green monkey), 2106 nucleotides. Lineage: Eukaryota; Metazoa; Chordata; Mammalia; Primates; Cercopithecidae. The record is from RefSeq and is a predicted model, not a curated record.
UUCAGGGUUUCUUAAAGGGUGAAAUGGAACAGAAUUAGGGGGACACAACCUUCUCUUUGGCCAGGCUUCCAGAGCAAGAUGGGUCCACCCAUUACUGAUGCAAGCAGGAGACAGACACAGAUAGAUGGACCAGUAUUAAAUGCCACAAUGCCUGGAGAAGCAAAAAUGAGGAUCAAAACUUUGGGUGCUGCUAGAGUAAGAAAAGCAUAGAUGGGGCCUCUUUUCUAGGGUUCUGCGUCUGAAACCUGGAAGAUUUCUCUUGUGUCUGGACGACCUGCCUCCUGUAAGCAUGUGACUUGAGGGUCCCCAAGAAAAACAAUUCAGUUCACACUUCAGUCCUCAGAAUGCACUAUUUGCAGGAAAAAAAAAAAUCUCAUCCAACAAAAAGGAUCUCUUAGACAUUCAGAAGUCUACAGAGACCUUAUUAUGAGGCCUCCCAAAAGGAUACUUUUCUACAAUCUUUAGCAGUGAGGGGAAAAAGGCACGAAGGCCUAAUCCUGCAACCCUGUGUCAAAGCUUUGGUGGUAAAAGGUAAUCAGACCCUCUGUCCAAACUUCCUCAUAUAUAUCCAGCUUAGCUGGUAGAGCCCAACUCCUUCUGCCUGAGGUCACCUGAAAAGAGAUGCCAGAUUCAGGAGCUCAAAAUUUCUGCAUUUGGAACCAGAAGGAACAAGGAAGAGGAUAAUUCUAGGCUGUGCUCAGACCAAGAACUAUAGGGGAGGAAGUAGCAGAAGAUUCUGGGCUGAUGGAAAUUCAGGCCAAGAUCUAAAUACAAGACAAAGCAAGUUUCGCCUGCAUGCACUGAAGAUGGCAGCUGUUGUGGGAAGGCUGCUCCGACAUGUGAGUGCCAUUCCUUGGGGCAUUUCUGCCACUGCAGCCCUCAGGCCUGCUGCUUCUGGGAAGAAUGAGCUUGACAAACAUAUUAUGGUCCAGUUCUGGUCAAGCAAAAUUCUUUAGCACCAGCUCCUCAUAACAUGCACCUGCUGUCGCCCAGCAUGCACCCUAUUUAAGGGUACAGCCAUUGUCAAUAGAGAGUUCAAAGACCUAAGCCUUGAUGACUUUAAGGGGAAAUAUUUGGUGCUCUUCUUCUAUCCUUUGGAUUUCACCUUCAUGUUUCCUACAGAAAUUGUUGCUUUUAGUGACAAAACUAAGGAAUUUCACGAUGUGAACUGUGAAGUUGUUGUGGUCUCAGUGGAUUCCCACUUUAGUUGCCUGGAUAAAUACACCAAGAAAGAAUGGUGGUUUGGGCCACAUGCACAUCCCACUCUUGUCAGAUCUAAGCAAACUUCCUGAGACUACGGUGUGCUGUUAGAAGGUCCUGGUCUUGCACUAAGAGGUCUCUUCAUAACUGACCCCAAUGGAGUCAUCAAGCACUUGAGCAUCAAUGAUCUCCCAGUGGGCCGAAGCGUGGAAGAGACCCUCUGCUUGGUGAAGGCGUUCCAGUAUGUAGAAACCCAUGGAGAAGUCUGCCCAGCAAACUGGACACUGGAUUCUCCUGCAAUCAAGCCAAAUCCAGCUGCUUCCAAAGAGUACUUUCAGAAGGUAAAUCGGUAGAUCACCCAUGUGUAUCUGCACCUUCUCACCCCAGAGAAGAACCACAGUUGAAACCUUUUAUCAUUUUAUAGAUGACUAUCUGUAGAAGGCAAGGAACCAAUUGUGUUUGUAUUCAUAAAUAUUACUCUAAAUGUUUUAUUUUUGUAAUACUGGCUACGGCCUUUUAAGCAUGGUUAGUUGCUAGUACAAGGAAUCCUUUACUGGUAACGUGUUGGUGGCUAGCUAGCUAGUUUCUACAGAACAUAAUUCACCUCUGUAGAAGGCAAUUCUUAGAUCAUGUCUUCAAUGGAACACUCUUCUGUCUUAGCCUUACUUGAAUCUUGCCUACAACAAAGUAGAGCAACACACAUUAAAAGCUUCUGAUCAAGGGUCCUAAAGUUUUCAUCUUGAAUGUGUUUGUAUUAAACUGAAUUUUCUUUUAAGCUAACAAAGAUCACAGCUUUCAGUUGUUAUCAGCAGUCAAAUGUAACUCCUGAAAUGAACGUUUAUGUGAUUGGAGCAAAUGUGAAUCAUAUUAUUUUAAAAAGUGGCAAAGUGACUUAACUGAUCAUAC